GGGCAAUUGGUCUAGGGGUAUGAUUUUCGCUUCGCAUCUUCAUUCUCCACAGAGUUGCUUAUGUGAAAGGUCACCGGUUCGAAUCCGGUAUUGUCCA
This is a non-coding RNA of Cercophora scortea, 97 nucleotides long. The record is from the annotation of a GenBank genome assembly. Lineage: Eukaryota; Fungi; Ascomycota; Sordariomycetes; Sordariales; Lasiosphaeriaceae.